UCCCUGAUGGUCCAGUGGUUAGGACUCCUUGCUGUCACUGCUGAGGACUCAGGUUCAGUCCCUGGUCAGGGAA
Molecule: non-coding RNA, 73 nt
Organism: Ovis aries (sheep)
Lineage: Eukaryota; Metazoa; Chordata; Mammalia; Artiodactyla; Bovidae
Source: Rfam